Gallus gallus (chicken) is the source of this 1004-nucleotide long non-coding RNA. The record is from Ensembl. Lineage: Eukaryota; Metazoa; Chordata; Aves; Galliformes; Phasianidae.
ACCUUUUCAUUCUCCAGCAGUUUUCAGUUAGAGACAUCCAAUGAACUCAGAAGUAUUCUAUAAAAUCUAUUGUAUGGAGUCACAGAAAUUUUGAAUAUCUGUGUCUAUUGACUGAUGGUUUGCCAGGGAGGCUAAUUUCAGGCGACUUUCUAUUUCUGUCAGAACUGCUGUUUUGUGCAGGCUGACCUCAGGGCAUUCAAUAAUUAUGUGACUGAAGUGGCCAUUCUUCAUACGUUUUCCUUCAGUAAUGUCUCUACAUAUUAGUAAUGCCAUGCACAAAAGAGUAGCGCGCAGUGUUUUUAACCUACAGCAUUCAUCAUUAAAAAUCGAGAGCUCUUUGUUACCAUUCAGUCCCACUGUUGUUGGAGGCAUUCCUAUCACUGAUCCAAAUCAGAAUACACGUUUGUCCCCAGGGCAGUGCCAGUUAUGGUGCGACUGGGAUGGCGGUGUGCAGGGUGGGAGGGAAGCACAGGCAUCCCGCAGCCUCCUCACUGCCAUGUCCCACUCUGAUGGGAAGUAGCACCUAUCCCAAUACUUCAUAUGCUUCACUCUUCUUCUUUUGCUUCCUCUACAUCCCAUGCCAGGAAGGACUCAGGCCCUUAACAUUUUUUUCUGAAUGUUUAAUUUUACUGACACAAGUACUAUAAAUAGAGCACUCUUCUACUACAGUUGACUUGGACAGAGACUGAAACAUAGAGAUAAAUAACCUGCAUUUGAAACAAAAUGUGCUUACAAGGCAAGGCCAAAUCAAACAUUACUGAGUAAAGAAGAAAAACUACAAAGUGAGGAGAAAUUAAUUACAACUCUUCACACUGUGGGAAGCAUCCAAGUAUAAUUCAUGUUAAGCCAAUGGAAACAUGAAAAGCAAAUGAAGUCAAAGUAUUCAGGGCUUGUUUUUGGAGGAUCUGGAGUAUUUCUUGUCACAUAGGCACUUAUAAUUUUAUGGUUGCAUGUUUGAAUUUACUGUGGUACUUUGUAAUAAACUUAAACACUAAAUUUUCCUU